GACGAACGCUGGCGGCGUGCUUAACACAUGCAAGUCGAACGGAAAGGCCCUGCUUUUGUGGGGUGCUCGAGUGGCGAACGGGUGAGUAACACGUGAGUAACCUGCCCUUGACUUUGGGAUAACUUCAGGAAACUGGGGCUAAUACCGGAUAGGAGCUCCUGCUGCAUGGUGGGGGUUGGAAAGUUUCGGCGGUGGGGGAUGGACUCGCGGCUUAUCAGCUUGUUGGUGGGGUAGUGGCUUACCAAGGCUUUGACGGGUAGCCGGCCUGAGAGGGUGACCGGCCACAUUGGGCCUGAGAUACGGCCCAGACUCCUACGGGAGGCAGCAGUGGGGAAUAUUGCACAAUGGGCGGAAGCCUGAUGCAGCAACGCCGCGUGCGGGAUGACGGCCUUCGGGUUGUAAACCGCUUUCGCCUGUGACGAAGCGUGAGUGACGGUAAUGGGUAAAGAAGCACCGGCUAACUACGUG
RNAcentral lists this ribosomal RNA (468 nucleotides) under uncultured bacterium. Its description in RNAcentral is "partial 16S ribosomal RNA". It matches the Rfam family "Bacterial small subunit ribosomal RNA", at positions 28 to 507 of the family's 1533-position model. The record is from RNAcentral.